RNAcentral lists this ribosomal RNA (465 nucleotides) under Vreelandella stevensii. RNAcentral's name for it is "partial 16S ribosomal RNA". It matches the Rfam family "Bacterial small subunit ribosomal RNA", at positions 338 to 795 of the family's 1533-position model. Lineage: Bacteria; Pseudomonadati; Pseudomonadota; Gammaproteobacteria; Oceanospirillales; Halomonadaceae. The record is from RNAcentral.
CCUACGGGUGGCAGCAGUGGGGAAUAUUGGACAAUGGGGGCAACCCUGAUCCAGCCAUGCCGCGUGUGUGAAGAAGGCCCUCGGGUUGUAAAGCACUUUCAGUGAGGAAGAACGCCUGGUGGUUAAUACCCAUCAGGAAAGACAUCACUCACAGAAGAAGCACCGGCUAACUCCGUGCCAGCAGCCGCGGUAAUACGGAGGGUGCGAGCGUUAAUCGGAAUUACUGGGCGUAAAGCGCGCGUAGGUGGCUUGAUAAGCCGGUUGUGAAAGCCCCGGGCUCAACCUGGGAACGGCAUCCGGAACUGUCAAGCUAGAGUGCAGGAGAGGAAGGUAGAAUUCCCGGUGUAGCGGUGAAAUGCGUAGAGAUCGGGAGGAAUACCAGUUGCGAAGGCGGCCUUCUGGACUGACACUGACACUGAGGUGCGAAAGCGUGGGUAGCAAACAGGAUUAGAUACCCUUGUAGUC